Molecule: transfer RNA, 84 nt
Organism: Felis catus (domestic cat)
Lineage: Eukaryota; Metazoa; Chordata; Mammalia; Carnivora; Felidae
Rfam family: tRNA
About the family: Transfer RNA (tRNA) molecules are approximately 80 nucleotides in length. Their secondary structure includes four short double-helical elements and three loops (D, anti-codon, and T loops).
Source: Rfam
GCCUGAGUGGCUCAGUCGGUUAAGCCUCUGACUUCAGCUCAGGUCAUGAUCUAACGUUUGUGGGUUCGAGCCCCGCAUCAGGCU